This 69-nucleotide transfer RNA is filed under the name Narcine brasiliensis. RNAcentral describes it as "tRNA-Asp". It matches the Rfam family "tRNA". Rfam says of the family: Transfer RNA (tRNA) molecules are approximately 80 nucleotides in length. The record is from RNAcentral. Lineage: Eukaryota; Metazoa; Chordata; Chondrichthyes; Torpediniformes; Narcinidae.
AAGAUUUUAGUAUAUUAAUAAUACACUACCUUGUCAAGGCAAAAAUGCGGGUUAAAACCCCACAAAUCU